ACACAUGCAAGUCGAACGAUGAUUUCCCAGCUUGCUGGGAAUGAUUAGUGGCGGACGGGUGAGUAACAUUUAGGAAUCUGCCUAGUAGUGGGGGAUAGCUCGGGGAAACUCGAAUUAAUACCGCAUACGACCUACGGGUGAAAGGGGGCGCAAGCUCUUGCUAUUAGAUGAGCCUAAAUCAGAUUAGCUAGUUGGUGGGGUAAAGGCCCACCAAGGCGACGAUCUGUAACUGGUCUGAGAGGAUGAUCAGUCACACCGGAACUGAGACACGGUCCGGACUCCUACGGGAGGCAGCAGUGGGGAAUAUUGGACAAUGGGGGCAACCCUGAUCCAGCCAUGCCGCGUGUGUGAAGAAGGCCUUUUGGUUGUAAAGCACUUUAAGCAGGGAGGAGAGGCUAAUGGUUAAUACCCAUUAGAUUAGACGUUACCUGCAGAAUAAGCACCGGCUAACUCUGUGCCAGCAGCCGCGGUAAUACAGAGGGUGCGAGCGUUAAUCGGAAUUACUGGGCGUAAAGCGAGUGUAGGUGGCUCAUUAAGUCACAUGUGAAAUCCCCGGGCUUAACCUGGGAACUGCAUGUGAUACUGGUGGUGCUAGAAUAUGUGAGAGGGAAGUAGAAUUCCAGGUGUA
Molecule: ribosomal RNA, 628 nt
Filed under: uncultured Moraxella sp.
Lineage: Bacteria; Pseudomonadati; Pseudomonadota; Gammaproteobacteria; Moraxellales; Moraxellaceae
Description: bacterial SSU rRNA
Rfam family: Bacterial small subunit ribosomal RNA
Source: RNAcentral